RNAcentral lists this ribosomal RNA (249 nucleotides) under uncultured Micrococcaceae bacterium. RNAcentral describes it as "partial 16S ribosomal RNA". It matches the Rfam family "Bacterial small subunit ribosomal RNA", at positions 355 to 616 of the family's 1533-position model. The record is from RNAcentral. Lineage: Bacteria; Bacillati; Actinomycetota; Actinomycetes; Micrococcales; Micrococcaceae.
UGGGGAAUAUUGCACAAUGGGCGCAAGCCUGAUGCAGCGACGCCGCGUGAGGGAUGACGGCCUUCGGGUUGUAAACCUCUUUCAGUAGGGAAGAAGCGAAAGUGACGGUACCUGCAGAAGAAGCGCCGGCUAACUACGUGCCAGCAGCCGCGGUAAUACGUAGGGCGCAAGCGUUAUCCGGAAUUAUUGGGCGUAAAGCGCUCGUAGGCGGUUUGUCGCGUCUGCCGGGAAAGUCCGGGGCUCAACUCC